This is a long non-coding RNA of Quercus robur (English oak), 639 nucleotides long. RefSeq lists it as uncharacterized. The transcript is spliced from 4 exons. The record is from RefSeq and is a predicted model, not a curated record. Lineage: Eukaryota; Viridiplantae; Streptophyta; Magnoliopsida; Fagales; Fagaceae.
UCAACUUGGAAUCAAAAUCUUCUCUAUCUGUCUAUAACCAAAUUCCCACAAUUUCUAUGUACCAAUAUUUAUAUAUUAUAUAUCUCUCUCUAGCACACCUACAUUCUGUACAUCAUAUUAAUCAUGACAUGUAAGACAAGAGUCUGUGGCCAGUGUUUGUUAAUACUAUCAUAACAACGACCCAAGAUUUGUGUUCACACCCAACUGUCUUUUUCAAUCAAACCUAUGAAACAGGCCUAAAUAAACAAACAAACUCUCAAUAGAAACAGAAACCAAAGACAACAUCAAAACGUUACUGUUCUGUUGUUCCACCCUGGUUCAAUGCCUUUUGUAACGGUCUCUUUUUGAUGGAUGAUGAUGAAGAAGAGGACCUGUGAUCUGUGUUUGUGUGGGGAUUCAUGAAUUUAGCUACAGGUAUUGUGAUCCAAAUAUAGGGCUGUCUUAUGCUACAAAAGAAGUAUUCAAAAUCAUUCUCCAACAGUUAAACAGUUCACGUACGCACAAACUUUUUGGAUUGCAUUGAGGAGUCAUUGGAAUGGAAUAUUAGAUAAGUUCGGGUGAGAGACUUUACAAGAAUUAUUAUAUGUAUUAAACCUCACAUAAAGUGGUUGUUAUCUAAGAAACUGUUGUAAAAAAAUU